RNAcentral lists this ribosomal RNA (253 nucleotides) under uncultured bacterium. RNAcentral's name for it is "partial 16S ribosomal RNA". It matches the Rfam family "Bacterial small subunit ribosomal RNA", at positions 524 to 776 of the family's 1533-position model. The record is from RNAcentral.
UACGUAGGUGGCAAGCGUUAUCCGGAUUUACUGGGCGUAAAGGGAGCGUAGGCGGACUUUUAAGUGAGAUGUGAAAUACUCGGGCUCAACUUGAGUGCUGCAUUUCAAACUGGAAGUCUAGAGUGCAGGAGAGGAGAAUGGAAUUCCUAGUGUAGCGGUGAGAUGCGUAGAGAUUAGGAAGAACACCAGUGGCGAAGGCGAUUCUCUGGACUGUAACUGACGCUGAGGCUCGAAAGCGUGGGGAGCAAACAGG